UCGGAGGGCGUCCACUGUGCGGCUCCUUGCAACCCCCCUGGGGUCUGUUUUGGUUUCCCUCUCUCCCCCAUGGGGUUGUGGGUGGCGCUCCCUUCGGAUUUUCUAACGGCUCUGCAGACCUCUGGUCAUUACAAAACCCACUUCAUUCGUUAACGAAUCAACCAUCCCCCUGAAGAGACCACUUAGAGGUCGAAACGCGUCAGGGAACGCACAUCACACAGCAUAAAGCAAUGUUGUAAACAUUUGUCCAAUAUUGUGGAAUAUGUAUUGUAUCACCAGAUCCGUAAAGGGUUUUCUUUUAAUUGUUAUUGCAUUUAAAAUGUAUGUUAUUGACAACCAUAAAAUAAACCAUGUUUUAUUAUA
Long non-coding RNA from Rana temporaria (common frog), 363 nucleotides. RefSeq lists it as uncharacterized. The record is from RefSeq and is a predicted model, not a curated record. Lineage: Eukaryota; Metazoa; Chordata; Amphibia; Anura; Ranidae. The transcript is spliced from 2 exons.